Molecule: long non-coding RNA, 3073 nt
Filed under: Homo sapiens (human)
Lineage: Eukaryota; Metazoa; Chordata; Mammalia; Primates; Hominidae
Description: HSALNT0114276
Source: RNAcentral
GAAGAAUACCAACAUUUGUGCAUACUCAAGUCCUGCAAGUCCUGCGGUGUGCCCUGUGGAACUCAAGGACACGAAAAGUCAGCACUCCAUGUAUGGAGGUUUUGUAUCCCACUAAUCCUGUAUUUUCCAUUUGCUUUGAGUUGUGGAUGUGGAACCUGCUGAUAAAGACGGCUGACUGCAUUUAUUGAAAAAAACUCCACAUAUAAGCAGACGUUCGUUCCUCUUCAAUUCUACCUGAAGACACUGUUUCCAGAUUAGUCUUGAAUAAAUCAUCAUGCCAUCCUACUCCUUAGGCAAAGUGAUGAAGAACUAAAAGCCAAGAAAUUUUGGCUUGAGUUCAGGUCCUGUCGCCUAAAAUCUGAUCUUGGACAAAAUAUAUCUUUUCUGAGUAUGUUUUUCUGAGUUUCUCAUAUUAUCUCUCUCUCUCUCUCUCUCUCUCUCUCUCUCUCUCUCCCUCCCCACCCCCCAAUCCCAAACACCCAGCCCCUGCCAAUAACAAUCACUUCCAUAAUACAUGGUUCUUAUGACAAUCACAUGUAGUGAAUAACUUGAGAAAACAUUAAACACUUGGAAUUACAAAAUAGAAAAUAGUAAAAUACUUGGGGCUAUCAACUCAACAGUCUAAACUUAAAACCAGUAGUCAGCCUGUCUAAUUUUAAUUGUGACCAUAUAUAGAUUCUGAUAUAUAGUUUUCUUUCUUUAAUAUACAACCCAUGAAAAUAAAAUUAAUUUUGUGAACUUUUACAUAAAAUGAUAUUUGUUAGUUCAAGGUCGCAUUCCUUAGACUGUUUAUCCAUGACACUCACCAUGCUUUAACAGUUUUAUCUGUAGAACACUUCAGCCAUUGUUUCAGUAUUCUUAUUUUUCUUGUUUUUUUUCUCCUCCCAAAUAUAUACAUGUGCCUAUGCACACACACAUAUACACUCACGUUCAAAACCACUGUACAUAGAACAUUUUAUUGAAUACAUAAUAAAACAAUCAAAUAAUUUCAAGGGAAAUGGUAAGAACUACUUUCAAAUAUUUUAUUUAAAAGAGAACUUGUGGCUGUUACAUAACUUAAUGAUAUUUAAACAAUUCUGAGAAUUUUGAAAGGUGAAAAUGAUUGCACUCUCGUAACAUGCUACAAAUCAGAGUAGUAUUCUCCAAUGAAAUAGAGAUGCUUCUAAUGCCAUGUUACCAGUGGGUUUCCUCUCUUUUUACUCUUUCUUGAAGAACUCAAGCCACACUGAUAUUUCUACAAUCAGAAAGCUCUUGAAAUGCACAUGUUAGAUGGUUGGCUAUUGGGUGAAUCAAGGACAUCUACACACUUACUUAUUCUCCACCCCACCAAACAUAGGACAAACCUGUUAAGUAAAAUAUGAAGCCAAAAUUAGCAUCCCCUGGCCAGGCGUGGUGGCUCACGCCUGUACUUCCAGCACUUUGGGAGGCCGAGGAAGGUGGAUCACUUGAGGUUAGGAGUUCAAGAUCAAGAUUAGCCUGGCCAACAUGGUGAAACCCUAUCUCUACUAAAAAAUACAACAAUUAGCCAGCUGCAGUGGCACACACCUGUAGUCCCAGCUAGUCGGGAGGCUGAGGCAGGGGAAUCACUUUAACUCAGGAGGCAGAGGUUGCAGUGAGCCAAGAUUGCACCAGUGCACUCCAGCCUGGGCAACAGGGCAAGACUCUGUCUCAAAAAAAAUAAAAAAUAGCAUCCCUAGAGUUUUUAUAUCAAAAUGAUUUAGAAUAGUUUAGAUAGUUUCAUAUUAAUUGAUUUAGAACUUUUCAUGCUCUCUCAAGAUUGUAUUUUAGAAGGUAAACCAAUGUUGUUAUGAAACAUGCAAUGCAUAAAAAGUCUAAACAAGUGUGUGCAUGAAUUUAUAUAUAUUCAGCUGUAGCUUAUGAUGUUAAUAUAAUAAACACCUGAGCUAUCAAAACACAAGUUAAAAUACAGAACUUUAUAGUUCCUCAGAAGCUGUCUGCAUUUAUGCCAUUGUUCUCCUCCUGAAGACAUAACCAUGAUCCAAUAUUUUGUAUUAAACAUACCUUUGCUGGAACUUAUAAUUAUACAACUUAAUUAUGCAUCUCGUAAAAAGAUAUUGCUUGUGACAGUGGCUUUUAAAAUUUGCAUAAGUAGACUCAUACUGUAAUGAAUUCAUGCUGUAUUAUCCUGUGACUUACUUUUGAAAAAACUGAAAGAUAUAAUAAAUCUGAUAAAGAGAUUUAUUCAUAUAGCUGAAUAUCGUUCUAAUACAGUCUUCACUGCUGUAUUGUACUUCCUUAUAUAAAUAUACUGCAAUAACCUAAUUUUCUAUUGAUACAUAUUAGAGGCAUUUCAGUUUUGACCUUUAUGAAAUUACUUCCAAGCACAGAAUUACUGGGUCACAGAGUGUGUGCACUUUCAGUUUUAUAAGGAACGUGGAUUGUGUAGAUUGCAGCUUUGUAUCAUAUCCUUGAAACCUUGUAUAUUCAUUUCAGUUCAAGUUACCUGAGGUCUGACUGAAGCCCUUAGGCUAGAAAAAGACUUUGACACUUGCUAACUCUGUGCUUACCUGUUUCAUUUUAUUUGAGCCUAUUGAAUUCCUUUUAUUUGGGCCAUGUACUUCUUAAAGUAUGUUUGAUUGUCUAGGAUGUUAUAUGUGUCACUUUGAAUUUUGGUUUUAUUUACUUUUUUGCUUAAUUUUUCCUAAUAACUAUGUUGAAAAUAAAUAUGCAGUUAUAUUCUAGUCAUCUUCCCUUGAUGUACUUUGAUCUUCUAUAUUUAUUUUUCUCUUACAAAUUAUUUUGCUUUUUUCUACUCUUAGUUUUAUUAUUUACAAAAUUAGCCCUUUUUUUAAAAAAUUCCAUCUCUAUCUCUCACUUUCUUUGUGAUUAUUUUAAGUGGCUUACGUUAACGUGCUUUAGGAAAGUUGUAGAUUUGCUAUAAAUCUGUCUUCAUAGCAAGGAACAACGGUCAUAGAUUAUGUCAUAAUAAUUGGUGGUGGCAGGAAAACAGUCAUUAAAAUCAAUACAGUGUGUAUCAGUCAGGGCUGGGCACCAAGGCUCAUGCUGUAAUCCCAGCACUUUGAGAGGCUGAGGUGGGAAGAUCACUUAAGGC